UGGGGAAUUUUGGACAAUGGGCGAAAGCCUGAUCCAGCAAUGCCGCGUGUGUGAAGAAGGCCUUCGGGUUGUAAAGCACUUUUGUCCGGAAAGAAAUCCUUGGCUCUAAUACAGUCGGGGGAUGACGGUACCGGAAGAAUAAGCACCGGCUAACUACGUGCCAGCAGCCGCGGUAAUACGUAGGGUGCAAGCGUUAAUCGGAAUUACUGGGCGUAAAGCGUGCGCAGGCGGUUUGCUAAGACCGAUGUGAAAUCCCCGGGCUCAACCUGGGAACUGCAUUGGUGACUGGCAGGCUAGAGUAUGGCAGAGGGGGGUAGAAUUCCACGUGUAGCAGUGAAAUGCGUAGAGAUGUGGAGGAAUACCGAUGGCGAAGGCAGCCCCCUGGGCCAAUACUGACGCUCAUGCACGAAAAGCGUGGGGAGCAAACAGGAUUAGAUACCCUGGUAGUCCACGCCCUAAACGAUGUCAACUAGUUGUUGGGGAUUCAUUUCCUUAGUAACGUAGCUAACGCGUGAAGUUGACCGCCUGGGGAGUACGGUCGCAAGAUUAAAACUCAAAGGAAUUGACGGGGUCAUAGCUG
Molecule: ribosomal RNA, 580 nt
Filed under: uncultured bacterium
Lineage: Bacteria
Description: partial 16S ribosomal RNA
Rfam family: Bacterial small subunit ribosomal RNA
Source: RNAcentral